UUUUUUUUUUUUUUUUUAGAUUUUAUUUAUUUAUUCAUGAGAGGCAGAGACAGAGGCAGGGGGAGAAGCAGGCUCCCUGUGGGGAGCCCGAUGCGAGACUCAUCCAAAGACCCCAGGAUCAUGAGCUGAACCAAAGGGAGAUGCUCAACCACUGAGCCACCCAGGUGUCCCUAGAUUGGGUUUUGUACAUUAACCAGAUCCUUAGUUCUAUUUUCAUUCUUCAGUCAGAUGGCCUCAUUCUUGUGUGUGUCUGUUCUUUAUUGCUAAUUUGUUUUUAUUUCUAUUCUGAAUUCAACUUAGAGUAAUUUCUGUCAGUUUCCUUGAACUCCUGCCUCUAUUUUCCCUGGCCAACCCCUUGGUUGCAGGUAAAACCUUACCUCUCAGCUAUCUUGACUCAGACUCACUGAUUCCUCUGGAUUCCUUUCAGCAGCAGCCCUUUCCAGAUCCAGUUUGUCCCUCUGAAUGGAUUCUCACCAGAGGUGUGGUUUCCAGGCUUAUUUUUAGUUGCAGAGGAACCCUUCCUUGAAGUGAAAGCCCAUCAUAUAUGGCAGAUGGAAUGGAGCUGUCUGUGGGGAGGGGGUACAGCCCCUCCAACUGGACCCAUUCUCCUCUCCACCCUUCUUCAUGGCUCUUCUGGGCCCGAGUUGAAAGCCAUCACUCUGGGGACUCUUGAGUGGCUCAGUGGUUGAGCAUCUGCCUUUGGCUCAGGGUAUGAUCCUGAGGUCCUGGGAUCGAGUCCCGCAUUAGGCUCUAGGGAGCCCGUUUCUCCCUCUGCCUGUGUCUCUGCCUCUCUCUGUGUGUCUCUCAUGAAUAAAUAAAAUCUCUUUAAAAAAAGAAACAAAAGAAAACCAUCACUCUGCAUGUGGAUUUGCUUCUCCCUAGUUAGCUGUCUCCUGUCCUGAUGGCUUACUUCCUUAAAUGCCUUGGCCAGCAUGAAGCAUGUGUCCUCUCUCGAAUCUCCCUCAUUCUCUUUGAAGGUCACAUUUUCCCCAACAAGCACAACAUUUUAACUUCUCAUCUCUCUAGUGUGUCCCCAGGUGGGGCUUCCACUCACCUGCUUGUGUCCCAUCCGUUCAGCCUUCAGGGCUGAAAGCCAUGCUGGAAAAGGCUGGCUGGCCAGCUGCACAUCACCUGGCCUCUCUACCAUGUGACCAUUUGAAGUCCUUCACUUAGGCCAUAGCUCUCUGGUUACUGAACAAUUGACAUAUUUUUUUUUUCCAGAGAAUCUUCUUUGGUCACAAGCACCUUGGAAGAGCAGAGAUGCUUCCAACUCAGGGAGGCAGGGGUUCCAUGAGCCUGUGAGGAAAGGGGUGUGGAGGCCAAGCUGUGGGCAGGAUCUUCCGGCAAGCCACAUGGAGCCCCUUGUAACGCUGGCGUCAACCCUUGUCCUCCGACCCUCCAAGCCAGGUUUGGAGUGGGCUACCCUCCCUAGUGGGCAGCUCUGGAUGGCAGGGAGUCCCGACAAACUGGGACUGGGGACUUGUGGGUGUCUCUGUGGCCCAUUUACUGAGGGUUUCCUGGACAUCUUGGAACACAUUAUGUGGGUCUUUUCCAAGCUCUGUUCUUUUUUUCUUUUCUCAUUCUACAUAAUUAUUUCCAUACCUAAUCUUGUACUUAUAAUUGUGUAUCCUUUCUCGAAGAAAGCCUUCCAAAUUCUAUAGGCUUCAGGCCCUCUAAAACCUGGAUGUAAAAAAAUAAAUAAAUAAAUAAAUAAAACCUGGAUGUGUCCCUGCAAACCAUGGUCUCGGGGCUCUCCCAGUGGACCCAGGGACCCAUGCUCUAGGGGGGGUUUCUAGGGGAGGCAAAGAUUCUCAUCUCCAAGGCUUUCCAAGACAUCUGUAGUACUUUGUGUACAGGAUGUCCAUGGCACAUGUUCUGGUGGAAGGCAGGGAGGCCUAAGUUUUGAAGUGCUUCUUGUCCUGUCCACAACAUGCCAGUCCCACUGUAGAACCCUAAGGCAGAGGACAACUGGAAACCCAUGAGGGUAGGGAAGGGCUACUUUCUGCUGGUUACUCUCCUUGUGCCACACAGCUCCUACACCCAGCUUUGGUGCAAACUUUCUGGAAAAAGGAUUCAGUGUGGUCCCUUCUCUCCAGAAUGGCUUUUUCAUCGGGCUGGGACUCCUGGUUUAGGCUUCAACCUGGCAGUACUGGUGCUUGACUAUAAUUCCUAAAUCUAGCUUUUAAGAGUCACGUAUUACAUAAUGGGAGAUUUUGCCUGCCUGGGACAUCUCAGGACUUGUGAGUUCAGUGCCUAGGACCCAGUAGGUUUUUUGGAUCUGCUCUUUGCUUUGCAUUGUUUCAUAGCUAUUGAUACAAGUCAGAUGUGAAAGCCAGUGAUAGCUAACACUAUUUUUUUUGUUUUAUUUUAAAGAUUUAUUUAUUUAUGAGAGCGAGCGAGCAAGUGAGCGAGCUUGCAAGGGAUGGGGGCAGAGGGGGAGGGAGAGAGAGAAUCCCAAGCACAUUCCCCACUGAGCAUGGAGCCCAAUGUGGGGUUCAAUGUCACAACCGUGAGAUCAGGGCCUAAGUUGAAAUCAAGUCAGAUGCUUAACCAACUGAGCCAUCCAGGUGCCCCAGCAAACACUAUUUUAAAAACGUGUAGGGACACUUCUAGAUAUAGAUAGUGGAUUAAAGCUUCCCCAAGGCAUUUCUCUUUCUUAAUUUCUAACAAAAGAAAGUAAAUAAAACUACAAGGGAAAUUUCCUAUCAGCAACCAAUACAAUCAACUUCAAAUUUGGCAUCCAAAGAAAGAUACAGAAGGUUUUGGAAUGCUAUGGAGUGGCGCAACACAUCUCUGCUUUCUCUCCUGUCCCGAAUGCCCAGAAAUGGGCAAAAUCCUGAACAUUCUCCCAAGUGCUCCUGAAUCUGAAAGGAAACAGAUGUGAGUCAUGCCCUUAUAUUCUUCCUCUUCUGAAUGAACCAUAUUUAAAAGGGUGCUGGGGAGAAAUAGGGGAAGCAGGGAGUAUGACCCAUGGAGCUGACUCAGUUGAUGGAAAGAAAACGCUUAGAACAACACUCCAACUGGGAAAUUGAUGCAAAGCCUGGGUUCUCCCCUUUCCUUGCAAAGGGUAUCUAGUAUCCUUCUCUCCAUCCCCAAUCAGGUGACCUGAGCCUUGCGCAGGACAUUAAUCAGAACCUCAGGACAGGAGCACAUGCAGGAAUUCCAAUGAAGACUGCACUGUGCUUCAGUUGAGCUCUCCUCUCUCCCUUCCUCCCCUCCAACUUCCAAAAAGUGUACAAAAUCCAAAUACCCUGCCUCUCACUUAGGUCAGAGGGAAAAAUAGACUGAUCUCAAAUAGUGGGGAGAUAGUCAAUGAGCUCCUCUCUCCUGCCAUCAUGUUACAGAAGCAUAAUGUAGGUCUGGACAGAGUUACCAAAUCAAGAUGAAAAGAAAUGGAUGCCAACACAUGGCAGCACAUAAUUAAUGAUAAACAGAGGGGAAAAUAGUUGGCAAAAAACAAAGCCUCCUCCCCCCUCUCGCCCCUACUCCUAUCUCCUGCCAAAGGAAAUUGCUUUCAAUUGUUUCACAUUGAAAACAACUUAAUAAGAACACGAAUUCAAUAAUCGAAGGCUCAAAGAUAGGAUGAUAAAACGAGACUUGAUAGCAAGGAAACAAAAUGAGGACAAAAACAGCAUUAUGAUAGAACUAAGAAAUAACUUAGAACUAACAAGAAAGACAACUAACCACACAGAAACUCACAUUCCUGAACUGGGGCAGCUAAACAAAGUAAGGAGAUUUAAGAAAGUAGAAUUACAGAGCACCUGGGUGGUUCCGUGGUUGAGCGUCUGCCUUGGCUCAGGUUAUGAUCCCAGAGUCCUGGGAUCGAGUCCCACAUCAAGCUCCCCUCAGGGAGCCUGCUUCUCCCUCUGCCUAUGUCUCUGCCUUUCUCAGGAAUAAAUAAAUAAAAUCUUAAAACAAACAAACAAAAAAAGAAAUUAGAAUUACUAGAAAUGGAAUACAUACAAAGAUGAUCCAACAUAAGGAUUAACUGGUAUCCCUGAAGAAGGAAAAUAAAAAAUAGAGCCAAAAGAGAAUGCCUAAUGCAGAAAAAAUGUAAACUGCAGAUUGAAAGACCCAUUAUGUUCCAGAAAGGCUGGAUUCAGAAUGUUUAAUACUAAGACAUGUCUUGGUUAAAUCAAUGAACUACAAAACCUGAUGGAAAGUGACUUCUUUAGGCAUACAAGUAGGACAAAGAGGUCACCUACAAGGGGGAAAAUUCAGACUUGUUUCAGAUCUUUUCCAGAGAAGAAAGUGCAACAUCUACCAGACUCUAUGGGAAAGAAGGUGAGACCCAAGAAUAUCAUACCUGGCCAAGAUCUGGUUCCAGUGUACAGGCAACAGGCAGGCAUUCUUAAACAUCCAAAACUCUUCUUGAUAAAACAGCUUAGCGAUGAAACUCAGUCCAUGAAGAGAUGAAUUGAAAUGAAGAGCUUGCAAUGGAGAAUCCUUGAUAAAAGGCUUGGAAUGCAUUUAAAUCUACAAUGUAUACCAAGUAACUGCAAUUAUAUUUCUACAGAACAGAAUAUGUUUCUUAUAAUCCUGGACAAUGUAACAAUAUUAAAUAAGUAACAAAAGUCAGGAGGCAGGGCAAGGGAGAUUGGCAAGUGGAAAGGAUCAUGCACGUGUGCGUACACACACAAUUCAAAUGUAUCAUUUAAAAAAAAUGACUGAAUAUCUUAAUGCUUUUCACCAUUUUUGUUUACUCUCAGAGGUACCUUUCAACAAGUAAGGUGGUAAUUGUGGUCAAGAAACAUGACUUGAAGGUCAACUCUUCCUUCAGUUUCAAGUAAAAUUAAACGUCAUACUUCAAAUUAAAAUAGCAUCUGGGGAUCCCCGGGUGGUCAGUGGUUUGGCGCCUGCCUUUGGCCCAGGGCGCGAUCCUGGAGACCCGAGAUCGAAUCCCACGUCGGGCUCCCGGUGCAUGGAGCCUGCUUCUUCUCCCUCUGCCUAUGUCUCUGCCUCUCUCUCUCUCUCUCUGUAAGACUAUCAUAAAUCAAUAAUAAAAUAAAAUAAAAUAGCAUCUGCAUUUUGGUCCAAUUCUUGUAAAGUAUCUCUGUGAUCUCUCUUCCUUUCUUUAUGCACAAAAAGCUUUCUGGAAUGAUGUGAUGUAAUAGUCAUUUCUGUGGUCGAUUCUGAAAGGUCGUAUACAGCUGGUUAUUUUCUUGCAUGUUACUUUUUAAUAUUUAAUCUUCCGAUACAUCUACGAAUAAACAAUUUUAAGUAUUAGAAACAAAAUUUUCUCAGACACCUCACUGCAAUAGAAUAGUCCAAAAACAGACUCAGCAGAGAGGGCUGCUAUUUCCCAGCAUCUACUCUAAACAUUUUAUGGAAUUUUUAGCAUAUACAUGAUGGCCAGGAUGCAGACCCCAUUUCCUAGCUGGGGUUCCGGCCGAUAGGAUGUAGGCAGAGGUACCAUAUGGCAGCUUGUGGGUCAUUUUUGAGUACUUGAUCAUUUUCUCUUUAUCACCUUCAUUCUUUCCUGCUGUCUGGAAUGUGGAUAUCACUAUAUGAGACCAAGAGAUCAAGACUUUCAAAGCAAAGGGACACAGAAGGUGUGUAUAGUGUGUCACAUCACCUAGACUGCCUUUGUGGAUAACAUGAGGAAGAAAGAAACUUCUGUCUUGUGGAAGCAUUGGAACCGAAGCCUAACUGACCCACAGACCUACACGUAUGCAUAGAGAAAUCUAGACUCUGAUAACUAUUUGCAUUGUACAUCAGUGGGGAAAGACUAAACACCUGGCUUGGCACAUGCACAAACAAAUCGUCCUUGGACCUAAACGUGACAACAAUUUUAAAAACGCUUUGUAAGGGAUCCCUGGGUGGCGCAGCGGUUUGGCGCCUGCCUUUGGCCCAGGGCGCGAUCCUGGAGACCCGGGAUCGAAUCCCACAUCAGGCUCCCUGCAUGGAGCCCGCUUCUCUCUCUGCCUGUGUCUCUGCCUCUCUCUCUCUCUCUCUCUCUCUCUGUGACUAUCAUGAAUAAAUAAAUAAAAUCUUUAAAAAAAAAAAACGCUUUGUAAGAAAAUGCAAAGGGAAUAUCUUUAUGAAUGUGAGAGAGGGAAGGACUUUUUAAAAAGAUGUUUUAUCGUAGAUAUCAGAAAGGAAACAAUAGGUAAACUAUACAACACCAACAUUUUACUCUUUAGUAUGACAAAAGGAACUAUAACAAAUGUAAAUGACAAGCAACAGUGAAGUCUGUCAUGUUCAAGUUCAUUGAGGUGCCAGAUGUGUAUAUGGGGUGGGGGCAGAGGGGUGGUCAACUAAGCAGAGAGCUGCAUAUCCAUUCCUUUUUACCUCUCAGAUAGUGGCAAUGCAUAUUAGCUUAUAAAAAUAUCUCAGAACUUCUACAGAAAUCUUUUUUUUUUCUCGUGUGGAACUCAGCAUUCAUACAGUUAUUUUAUUUCUAACUGUGGGACCAUUGUGUGUGUUGUGUGUUGUGUGUGUGUGUGUGUGUGCGUGUGUGUGUGUGUGUAACAUCUAUGAACUUCUCCUGGGUGUUUAAGGAACACAUGAGAAUGCUGCCAUAAGAAGUAACCCUCUGCUUCAUGUAAGAAAUGAUUGUGGCAUUCACCUUUGUGUGCCCACAGGUAACUCUUACUCGUCCCAUGGUUUUGGCCAGUAGUAGCAUUGGAGGGGAGAUGAAGGAAGUGGAGAGGGUGGAGAUAGAGGUGGAGGAGAAGAAGAAGAGAGAAAAAGGAAGAAGAUGAAGAAGGGAAAGGGGAAGAGGAAGAAGAAAGAAAAAGAAAUUUGGGGUUUGGGGAGUAGGUGUAAAUUCCUCUAGUGAAGUGAACAUAUCUCAAGAGAAGGAAGUCAGCUGUAAUUUGGGUUGUUCCUUCUCAUAGCCAUCAGCUGGGAUUACUACAAGUAGACAUUUUGAAACAUGUCCGACUAGGGAAAAAAGGAUCAUUUUUAAGAUAACUUAGGGGGUGCCUAGGUGGCUCAAUUGGUUAAGCAGCUGCCUUCAACUCAGGUCAUGAUCCCAGGGUCCUGGGGUCCAGCCCCCCAUGGGAGGUGUCUCUGCUCAGCAGGGAGUCUUCUUUUUUUUUUUCUCUCUCUCCCCCGCCUCACUGCUCAUUCUCUCUCUCUCAAAUAAAUAAAUAAAUAAUCUUUAAAAAAAAAGAUAAUUUAGGGCAGGUUUCAGAGAGUUGUGAUGCAGAAAAUGGCAUUUGUGACAGAUUUCUUACUAGUUAUGGAGGGAAAAAAAGGAAAGAAUAGAUAUGGUCUAGGAUGGUCAAUUCAACAUUGAUCUGUGUGUGUGUGUAGUCUGUUUGUGUGUGUGUGUGUGUGUGUGUCUGUCUGUCUGCCUGUCUCUCUCUACUCUGACAUUAAGGCCUUUAUAGUCUUUUUUUUUUUUUUUUAAGAUUUUAUUUCCAAGUCAUCUCUACCUGCAAUGUGAGGCUCAGACACACAACC
RNAcentral lists this long non-coding RNA (7410 nucleotides) under Canis lupus familiaris (dog). RNAcentral's name for it is "lncRNA (ENSCAFG00000055318.1)". The record is from RNAcentral. Lineage: Eukaryota; Metazoa; Chordata; Mammalia; Carnivora; Canidae.